This 441-nucleotide ribosomal RNA is filed under the name uncultured bacterium. Its description in RNAcentral is "partial 16S ribosomal RNA". It matches the Rfam family "Bacterial small subunit ribosomal RNA", at positions 338 to 795 of the family's 1533-position model. The record is from RNAcentral.
CCUACGGGUGGCAGCAGUGGGGGAUAUUGCACAAUGGGGGGAACCCUGAUGCAGCGACGCCGCGUGGGUGAAGGAGUGCUUCGGCAUGUAAAGCCCUAUCGGCAGGGAAGAAGCAAGACGUUACCUGACUAAGAAGCCCCGGCUAACUACGUGCCAGCAGCCGCGGUAAUACGUAGGGGGCGAGCGUUAUCCGGAUUCACUGGGCGUAAAGGGAGCGUAGGCGGCCUGCCAAGUCUGAUGUGAAAUACCGGGGCUCAACCCCGGGGCUGCAUUGGAAACUGGCAGGCUGGAGUGCCGGAGAGGCAGGCGGAAUUCCUAGUGUAGCGGUGAAAUGCGUAGAUAUUAGGAGGAACACCAGUGGCGAAGGCGGCCUGCUGGACGGUGACUGACGCUGAGGCUCGAAAGCGUGGGGAGCAAACAGGAUUAGAUACCCUUGUAGUC